This 340-nucleotide ribosomal RNA is filed under the name uncultured eukaryote. Its description in RNAcentral is "partial 18S ribosomal RNA". It matches the Rfam family "Eukaryotic small subunit ribosomal RNA", at positions 1470 to 1796 of the family's 1831-position model. The record is from RNAcentral.
CCCUUAGAUGUCCUGGGCUGCACGCGCGCUACACUGACGACUUCAACGAGUUUUUUUCAUUUGAAAAAGUCCUUGGCCGGAAGGUCUGGGUAAUCUUUUAAAAGGUCGUCGUGAUGGGGCUAGAUUCUUGCAAUUAUUAAUCUCCAACGAGGAAUUCCUAGUAAACGCAAGUCAUCAACUUGCAUUGAUUACGUCCCUGCCCUUUGUACACACCGCCCGUCGCACCUACCGAUUGAACGUUCCGGUGAGACCUUGGGAUUUGGUCUUUGGUACUUUAUUGUGCCGUUGACCGAAAAACUUGAGCAAACCUUAACGUUUAGAGGAAGGUGAAGUCGUAACA